UACGUAGGCAGCAAGCGUUGUUCGGAUUUACUGGGCGUAAAGGGCGCGUAGGCGGCUUGUCAAGUCACUUGUGAAAUCUCUGGGCUUAACCCAGAACGGCCAAGUGAAACUGACAUGCUAGAGUGCAGAAGGGGCAAUCGGAAUUCUUGGUGUAGCGGUGAAAUGCGUAGAUAUCAAGAGGAACACCUGAGGUGAAGACGGGUUGCUGGGCUGACACUGACGCUGAGGCGCGAAAGCCAGGGGAGCAAACGGG
Molecule: ribosomal RNA, 253 nt
Filed under: uncultured bacterium
Lineage: Bacteria
Description: partial 16S ribosomal RNA
Rfam family: Bacterial small subunit ribosomal RNA
Source: RNAcentral